GAUGAACGCUGGCGGCGUGCCUAACACAUGCAAGUCGAGCGAAGCACUUUGCUUAGAUUCUUCGGAUGAAGAGGAUUGUGACUGAGCGGCGGACGGGUGAGUAACGCGUGGGUAACCUGCCUCAUACAGGGGGAUAACAGUUAGACAUGACUGCUAAUACCGCAUAAGACCACAGCACCGCAUGGUGCGGGGGUAAAAACUCCGGUGGUAUGAGAUGGACCCGCGUCUGAUUAGCUAGUUGGUAAGGUAACGGCUUACCAAGGCGACGAUCAGUAGCCGACCUGAGAGGGUGACCGGCCACAUUGGGACUGAGACACGGCCCAAACUCCUACGGGAGGCAGCAGUGGGGAAUAUUGCACAAUGGGGGAAACCCUGAUGCAGCGACGCCGCGUGAGCGAAGAAGUAUUUCGGUAUGUAAAGCUCUAUCAGCAGGGAAGAAAAUGACGGUACCUGACUAAGAAGCACCGGCUAAAUACGUGCCAGCAGCCGCGGUAAUACGUAUGGUGCAAGCGUUAUCCGGAUUUACUGGGUGUAAAGGGAGCGUAGACGGAUGGGCAAGUCUGAUGUGAAAACCCGGGGCUCAAUCCCGGGACUGCAUUGGAAACUGUUCAUCUAGAGUGCUGGAGAGGUAAGUGGAAUUCCUAGUGUAGCGGUGAAAUGCGUAGAUAUUAGGAGGAACACCAGUGGCGAAGGCGGCUUACUGGACAGUAACUGACGUUGAGGCUCGAAAGCGUGGGGAGCAAACAGG
RNAcentral lists this ribosomal RNA (748 nucleotides) under uncultured Ruminococcus sp. RNAcentral describes it as "bacterial SSU rRNA". It matches the Rfam family "Bacterial small subunit ribosomal RNA", at positions 28 to 776 of the family's 1533-position model. Lineage: Bacteria; Bacillati; Bacillota; Clostridia; Eubacteriales; Oscillospiraceae. The record is from RNAcentral.